Molecule: ribosomal RNA, 429 nt
Filed under: Bacillus sp. (in: firmicutes)
Lineage: Bacteria; Bacillati; Bacillota; Bacilli; Caryophanales; Bacillaceae
Description: bacterial SSU rRNA
Rfam family: Bacterial small subunit ribosomal RNA
Source: RNAcentral
UGCAAGUCGAGCGGACAGAUGGGAGCUUGCUCCCUGAUGUUAGCGGCGGACGGGUGAGUAACACGUGGGUAACCUGCCUGUAAGACUGGGAUAACUCCGGGAAACCGGGGCUAAUACCGGAUGGUUGUUUGAACCGCAUGGUUCAAACAUAAAAGGUGGCUUCGGCUACCACUUACAGAUGGACCCGCGGCGCAUUAGCUAGUUGGUGAGGUAAUGGCUCACCAAGGCAACGAUGCGUAGCCGACCUGAGAGGGUGAUCGGCCACACUGGGACUGAGACACGGCCCAGACUCCUACGGGAGGCAGCAGUAGGGAAUCUUCCGCCAUGGACGAAAGUCUGACGGAGCAACGCCGCGUGAGUGAUGAAGGCUUUCGGAUCGCAAAGCUCCGUUGCUAGGGAAGAACAAGUGCCGUUCGAACAGGGCGGCAC